This 56-nucleotide transfer RNA is filed under the name Agrilus planipennis (emerald ash borer). It matches the Rfam family "tRNA", at positions 10 to 63 of the family's 71-position model. Rfam says of the family: Transfer RNA (tRNA) molecules are approximately 80 nucleotides in length. Their secondary structure includes four short double-helical elements and three loops (D, anti-codon, and T loops). The record is from Rfam by way of RNAcentral. Lineage: Eukaryota; Metazoa; Arthropoda; Insecta; Coleoptera; Buprestidae.
GUUUAGUGGUCAGAACAUUGGUGCGUAAAGCCAAAGGUCCCGGGUUCGAUUCCCGG